RNAcentral lists this ribosomal RNA (405 nucleotides) under uncultured prokaryote. RNAcentral describes it as "bacterial SSU rRNA". It matches the Rfam family "Bacterial small subunit ribosomal RNA", at positions 355 to 774 of the family's 1533-position model. The record is from RNAcentral.
UGGGGAAUAUUGGGCAAUGGGCGCAAGCCUGACCCAGCAACGCCGCGUGGGGGAAGAAUGUCUUCGGAUUGUAAACCUCUGUCCUUAGGGACGAAAAAAAUCACGGUACCUAAGGAGGAAGCUCCGGCUAACUACGUGCCAGCAGCCGCGGUAAUACGUAGGGAGCGAGCGUUGUCCGGAAGUAUUAGGCGUAAAGGGUGCGUAGGCGGUAAUACAAGUCAGAUGUGAAAUCCCCGGGCUUAACUCGGGAGUUGCAUUUGAAACUGUAUAGCUUGAGUGAAGAAGAGGUAAGUGGAAUUCCUAGUGUAGCGGUGGAAUGCGUAGAUAUUAGGAGGAACACCAGUGGCGAAGGCGACUUACUGGUCUUUUACUGACGCUGAGGCACGAAAGCGUGGGGAGCAAACA